Molecule: long non-coding RNA, 1665 nt
Organism: Patella vulgata (common limpet)
Lineage: Eukaryota; Metazoa; Mollusca; Gastropoda; Patellidae
Exons: 5
Source: RefSeq, a predicted model, not a curated record
CAACUCAGUCAUGUCGGAAUUUCCGGUUCCGGUCAAAAUAAAAACAAGAGAAGAACAAGAAGAUGAAAGCUUAAAGAACAACAUUUUGAAGGUUUUGUGAAUGAAAUUUGAAUAGAAAUGGGCAGACGGAAGUUCGAUAGAACGGUUGUUAAGAAAUGUCCAAUUUGUGGACAACAGAUACCUGUAGCGUGUAGAUAUUGUAGUUGUGGACAUCAGUUUACGACUAGAGUUCGUACAUCCUCAUCUACAUCAUCUUUACCAGAUGAAAGAGAAUGUGAUCAAGGAUCGAACGAAUCAAGUGAAGGAAAGAGAAGAAGAACUGUUAGAACUAAAAGAGUCCGACCAGAUUUCUUUAAUUCUUUAGAUCUAGAAUAUAGUUCCAGGCAGCUCAAACCCAAAAAGUCCAAGGAAGAAGAAGAAAGUCCUAAGAAAAAGCGAGGUCGUCCUAAAGGUUCAGUAAAUAAAGCAAAGACUUCAGAACCAACCACACCUGUAGCAGAGAAUAGUAAGCCAAUAGAAGAAGAUGUUUUUUCGGGUGUUCCUCAAGAUAAAUUAAAUACAUAUAAUAUUAUAUUAUCUGAAUUAAAUCGUAAAAUAUUUACACAGACAUUUAAACCAGAUUGAUUAUAACAUAACUGUGAGAGAGAGAGAAAUGGGGUUUAACGUCCACUCGACACAAACUAGGUCAUUUCGGGACUGACAUAUGGUUCAAUUUUAAUUUCAUAAUUCGCUUGCGAGUAGGGGUCUUUAGUGACGUUUCGACUGAAUUUCUCUAUGGAUCUCUAGUCUUUAUCAAGCCUAGAGGGGGGUUGGAUGGCUGAAUGGUUAGCGCGAGCGCGUUGUAUCAUAAGGACUGUCAUUGAGUCAACUGGCGUGGUUUCGAUUCCCCAAUUGUACAUGGCAAGGAGUAGGGUUGUCUGUCCAACCUCGUGGGUUUUCUCCGGGUUCCCCGGUUUCCUCCCACAUCUAAAGACUCCUACUCGCAAGCAAAUUAUUGAAAUUAAAAUUAAACCAUAUGUUAGUCCCGAAAUGACCUAGUUUGUGUUGAGUGGAGUUAAACCCAUCUCUCUCUCUCUCUCUCUCUCUCUCUUUCUGCCCCCCCCUCUCUUUAUCAAGCCUUGUUGAAAGUCACUUAGUAAUAAGCAGUAAUCAUAUUCCAUGGAAUUGUGAGGUGUGUAAAUUCAUUGCCAUGUAAUUUUGCGGCAUGGUUUCCCCUUGCCAAGGUGCAGGAAGGGAAGGGGGGGUCAGACUAGGACUAGGACAUAUGGUACAAAAAAACGAGAUACGGUGUACACAUUGGCGUGCACUGGCAGCUGGAAUUCGAUAUAAGAGUAGGCCGUAGCCUGCUGUCUGAGCAAAAUUUUCCUCUUAGUCCUAACACACUGUAUGGGGUAUACCCAUCUUCAUUAGCCCAGUCGGAACAGAACAGUAGGACGUUAAACCCCAUUUCAUUUCAUCGUAUCCCCAUACGGCAUGUAUGGUAUGUCUGUAUGGCAGAACAGUAGGAUGUUAAACCCCAUUUCAUUUUAUUUUUGCCUUGUAAAUGUUGUUGUUGACCAUAUUAGUAUAUGUCUAUCUUUAUAUCUAUUGUAGUUAUUGUACAAUUUGUUUGUAAUUUGUUUUUCUUUGUGUUGUAUUUUUCAAAUAAAAAUAAAAUGAAAGUAC